UACGUAGGGACCGAGCGUUGUCCGGAAUCAUUGGGCGUAAAGAGCGUGUAGGCGGCCAUUUAAGUCCUGCGUGAAAUCCUGCGGCUCAACCGCAGGCGGUCGUGGGAAACUGGAUGGCUAGAGUGCGGGAGAGGAGAGUGGAAUUCCUGGUGUAGCGGUGGAAUGCGCAGAUAUCAGGAAGAACACCCGUGGCGAAGGCGGCUCUCUGGAACGCAACUGACGCUGAGACGCGAAAGCGUGGGGAGCAAACAGG
This 253-nucleotide ribosomal RNA is filed under the name Actinomycetota bacterium. RNAcentral describes it as "partial 16S ribosomal RNA". It matches the Rfam family "Bacterial small subunit ribosomal RNA", at positions 524 to 776 of the family's 1533-position model. The record is from RNAcentral. Lineage: Bacteria; Bacillati; Actinomycetota. RNAcentral also lists the same sequence under 1 other name.